Molecule: long non-coding RNA, 1017 nt
Filed under: Ananas comosus (pineapple)
Lineage: Eukaryota; Viridiplantae; Streptophyta; Magnoliopsida; Poales; Bromeliaceae
Description: long non-coding RNA (ACOM_LNC044329)
Source: RNAcentral
GUAUCCAUAUUUCUUUAUCUUUUCUCUUCUUUUUUCUUUUUAUUUCUUUUGAGUUGGUAAGCUAGCUGGGGAUAAGGAUGCCACGUGCACCUUACCCCCAAGCAUGCUUAUCAUCUUGAUACAUGUGCAUUGUAUAUAUAUAGAUCUUGAGCCGUACGUAGAGGAGGAGCUCGGGUGGUGUGGAGUUUCGUCGACGUCGCGCCGCGGUGCCGUUCGAGCGUGUGUUCGUCGUCGUAGCAUCGCGAGGGGGGCCGGGCGAGGGUCCGAUUCCGCCGUUUUUGUUGUCGCGCCGGAUUGUGAUUAGCGUUUGAGGUGGGUUACAUCGGCUUUACUCCUAAGUUCGUAUUGGUCGACAUGUAUAGGUUUUGAUUUCGGUAAUUAAUGUUAGCUCAAAUUCAUGGAUUAAUUGUAGAUUGUGAAAUCUGAAUUUUGGAGCAUGUUUUAUAAAUUAGGUAGAUUAUACAUGUUGGACUUGAAAAUUGAAUUAGGAGAAAACCUGCGAUUUUGGCCUGUCACCUGUAUAAACUACUUGAUUUAGCUCUAGGAGCCGUUAGAAAAUUGUACUGUCGCAGUUUCUUCGAGACGAGUACUCCAGGUAGUUUAGAAUGUAUUUACACUCGUGCUGGUUCGCCGAGUGGAUUUUUACAGGGUCGUUCAGGUUGUUUCGGACUGUUGGGUGCCGUCAGAGUUGACGGUGGACCCGUAUCGCCUUUUUGGCGUCAGAUUGUGCCGAGGGCACGUUACCUGUUGGUUGUUAGACCAGUUUGAGUCGAUUACUUGACUUUGGCUAGUUGGAGCCUGAUUGAGCUCGACAGAGAUACGCUGCAUACUCGGUUGGGUAGCGCCCACGAGUGCCACUCCGGAGUCAGGCUUGUGCUUUUGCGUUGGUGUCGCUCAUGCCAGUUGGACUUGCCCUCCACGGACCAGUUAGUGUGGAUAGAGCCGAUAGUCGCAGCGGGGCAGGGACGGGUGUAUUCACAAUCCCGGGGGACGGGUAUGCUUACAGUCCCGAUUUGG